This is a long non-coding RNA of Xenia sp. Carnegie-2017, 204 nucleotides long. RefSeq lists it as uncharacterized. The transcript is spliced from 3 exons. The record is from RefSeq and is a predicted model, not a curated record. Lineage: Eukaryota; Metazoa; Cnidaria; Anthozoa; Malacalcyonacea; Xeniidae.
UAUUGACAGGACGAUCCUUCUGUAAAUAGUUUGGUUUUGGUUUAUCAUCUUGGAGGAAGAACAUUACAAGUCACCCUUAUUUCUGUAAACAGUGGAAUGUAUAAAAUUUUGGAUUCGUUUUAUAAUAAUUCCAUUGGAGGAGAAAGUUUUGAUGAGGUUUUAGUUUCACAUUUAGCAGAUGAAUUUAAAAGAAUAUGGAAAGAC